CUGACCUCUCUCUCUCUCUCUCUGACCUCUCUCUGACCUCUCUCUCUGACCUCUCUCUCUCUCUCUCUGAUCUCUCUCUCUGACCUCUCUCUCUCUCUCAUUUAAGAUAAUAUGGAAAAUGUGUACAACAAUAAGACAACACGACACCAAGCUUCUAUUGGCCGAUUCCUAGCCUGAUCCGAGAUAUGUAUCUGAAGACAAGUCAGCUAGCUUUAGCCAAGUUCUCUAAAGCUAAUCAGAUCUGGGACCAGGCUACCUGAUUCCUUGUCUGUCUGUCUGUCUGUUGGCUAGUGUAGGGAUGAAUAAUGUCAGUGUGGAGCUGAAACCUUAAGGAAGCAUGUUAAAUCUGUCUCCACUCCUCUGCUGCGUCAGACCCUUUCGGUCUGUCUCUCUUCUUCUUAAGAUGGUGAAAUCUCUCCUUUGGCAGGCGAUAACUCGCUUCCCUGUUUUUACGUCCCCUUUUUAUGAUGUAAUGGCCAGGCUCCUUUUUUCCCGCUCCAGUCACUUCCUGUUGAAAGGUCAGAUGGAUGGUGUCCUAUGGAUUCUGUAUCAUCACUUUACACAUGGUCUUAUACUCAACAGUUAGGUUUGUUCAGAAGCGUUUGUUCUGUAAAGGAAGACCCCUGAAGCGGUGUGGAGCUUCAACAUCAUGUGACAACAGUUUCAUAUCAGUUGGAUAGUGGAUUGGAAUUUCACUUCAUACAAAAAGACUGAAUUAUUGUGUGUGGACAUUGUUGUUUUUCAGAGGCACUUAUUAACCCCGAGUAGACACACCCACCCACCCACCCAGAGUGAGCUGAGCCCAGUGGGCAGCCUAGGGCAAGAUUUCCCAACCCCCUCUUCAGGUGCACCUUUUGUUUUUUGCCCUAGCACUACACAGCUGAUUCAAAUAAUCAAAGCUUGAUGAGUUGGUUAUUUGAAUCUGCUGUGUAGUGGUUUGUAGGACAGAGGUUUGGCCAGCAGGGGGGAGGCACUGACAUGUGAAUGGUUAGUCAGGCUGAGCUCGGAUGGCUACAGUGUGGUUUAGUACCAGCCAGACAGAUAGCUCUGGCGCCUCCUGGGUUUUCCUAACACAUCCACACAGCAGUCAGCCAUAGGGCAGGUGAUGCACAUGGAAUACCGCUGACUUCCAAAGACAACAGGGACGGGUGACAAGGCGAGGUCUUGCUGUCUUUCUCCCCUCCUCCCUCUCUUUCUCCCCCAAUCCAGCCCCUGAAGAACUCGGCUCUCCACUGGCGCUUUAUCAGCCUGUGUGGAUCCACCCAUCCCUUUAAGAUAGGACCGGUGGUGUAGCCAGCGUGUGGAUCCACCCAUCCCUUUAAGAUGGGACCGGUGGUGUAGCCAGCGUGUGGAUCCACCCAUCCCUUUAAGAUAGGACCGGUGGUGUAGCCAGCGUGUGGAUCCACCCAUAACUUUAAGAUAGGACCGGCGGUGUAGCCAGCGUGUGGAUCCAACCAUCCCUUUAAGAUAGGACCGGCGGUGUAGCCAGCGUGUGGAUUCAACCAUCCCUUUAAGAUAGGACCGGUAGUGUAGCCAGCAUGUGGAUCCACCCAUCCCUUUAAGAUAGGACCGGUAGUGUAGCCAGCGUGUGGAUCCACCCAUCCCUUUAAGAUAGGACCGGUGGUGUAGCCAGCGUGUGGAUCCACCCAUCCCUUUAAGAUAGGACCGGUGGUGUAGCCAGCGUGUGGAUCCACCCAUCCCUUUAAGAUAGGACCGGUGGUG
Oncorhynchus tshawytscha (Chinook salmon) is the source of this 1722-nucleotide long non-coding RNA. RefSeq lists it as uncharacterized. The transcript is spliced from 2 exons. The record is from RefSeq and is a predicted model, not a curated record. NCBI's taxonomy places the organism in Eukaryota, Metazoa, Chordata, Actinopteri, Salmoniformes, Salmonidae.